RNAcentral lists this ribosomal RNA (447 nucleotides) under uncultured bacterium. RNAcentral's name for it is "partial 16S ribosomal RNA". It matches the Rfam family "Bacterial small subunit ribosomal RNA", at positions 29 to 523 of the family's 1533-position model. The record is from RNAcentral.
AACGAACGCUGGCGGCAGGCUUAACACAUGCAAGUCGAACGCCCCGCAAGGGGAGUGGCAGACGGGUGAGUAACGCGUGGGAACCUACCUUUCGGUACGGAAUAACUCGGGGAAACUCGUGCUAAUACCGUAUAUUCCGGUAACGGGAAAGAUUUAUCGCCGAAAGACGGGCGCGCGUUAGAUUAGCUAGUUGGUGGGGUAAUGGCCGACCAAGGCGACGAUCUAUAGCUGGUCAGAGAGGAUGAUCAGCCACACUGGGACGGAGACACGGCCCAGACUCCUACGGGAGGCAGCAGUUGGGAAUCUUGGACGAUGUGGGAAGCCCUGAACCAGCCCUUCCGCUUGAGUGUUCACGGCCUCAGGGUUGUAAAGCUCUUUCUCGCAUGACGAUGAUGACGGUAAGGCGAGAAGAAGCCCCGGCUAACUUCGUGCCAGCCGCCGCCGUAA